AGCAGAUCCUCUGCUCAGAGAGCUGCCAGCUCCAAUCAUGGCCCCUACAGCGGCUGCAGCGCUGACUGCAUCUCCACAGCGUCUGGCUGUCAGCAAGCAGCUCAGAAAGCCUCCAGUGGAGAAGUUCAGCAGAGAACCAGCAGCAGCAUGAGAAGCUCACACCUCCUCUGGGUCCAGAGAUCCUAAAACAGCAGCCGGACCUCCAGAUGGAGAAGGCAGACUCCAGGAGAGAGCGCUCGCUGCCUGACACGCUUGCUGCAGCAGCAGCUGUGGAUAAGGGCUACUGCAGGUAGAUCCAGGAGCUGAGAGGCUGACGUCUCUCCUCUGAGAUCCACAGUCCAGAGCAGCAUCAGCAAAGACAGAAGUGGCGCCCUCUGGAGGCUGUGGAGGACACCCGCAGGCUCCUGAAGGAUCAACGGAGAAGAAGAUUUUGGUCAAAGAAGACUGAGGUGAAUAUGGACUUGAUCUUCUGUAAGAACAGAAGGAUUCAAAGAAGAUAACAUCUGGUUUUUUGAGGUGAAAAAGCUGCAAAGAUCAUGUUGGUCAAACAUUUCUGGAUUCUGUCACAUUGAUGGAGUUCUUGUCUGUGUGCUGAAUGUUCCGGCGGUGCAAACAUUUCCUGAGGAAAGAUGCAGAAAUCUUCUUUUAUUUUCACAUUUCCACAGAAGCUGAAUUGCUGUUGAUGCAUAAAGGCUGUUAGAAGUGAAGGAACAUCUGAAAGUUCAUGAUUGGACUCCAUGAACAUUAUUUCAUCCUUCACUUUGAUCAUGUUGAUCAGAUAUGGCAUCUCUAAUCAAUGGAGAUGUUUUUAUGAACUGUUGUCAGUUUCUGAUCAUUCUGUGAUCAUCUGAAUUCAGAUCGGUGUGUUUUAUACAUGUUUUCAUCGUUUUUGAAAAAAAAAACUAUCUCGUUAUGAGAUUAAAGUUGUGCUAAAACCAUAUUGGUUCAAUAAUAUUCAAAUCAAAGUCUUUGGUAUUUUGGUUUGAGUUUUUAGAAAUAGAUGAAGCCAAUUUUCUUCCCUUGAAGAAGAAACUUUGAUCCUUCUGAAGCCAUUAAGAAAACCAUGUGGGUUGUACCACAGACUCAGAGUUUUCUGGUACACUGAUGACUCUGUGAGGUUUCUGGGUUUUAAAAUCAAAUCACAGAUUAACAGAUGAGUUAUUUUCAAUCUAAAACUGCAUCAGUUUGAACUUAUUUCCUAUCGACUGUAUUUUCUACCAUUAAACAUGAUAGAUUUAAAGAUCUUUUUAAGAUGAGUUCUUAAUCAUCUUUAUCUGUUAUUUUAUUGGACUUUACUUGUGAUGAAGUCGACAUAAAAAUGUGUGUUGAUCUUGAUAAGAUCUGUUGUUUGUUGGUCCUCAGGGAAAGUUGUGUUAUCUUGUUGAAUUGAUGUAUCAUCAAUGGUGUGUCUCCAGAUGGAACUUUUAUUGUUUCAUUUGAUACGGGGAAAUAAAAGUAAGAGUUUGUUUGAGAA
Oryzias melastigma (Indian medaka) is the source of this 1474-nucleotide long non-coding RNA. RefSeq lists it as uncharacterized. The transcript has 2 exons. NCBI's taxonomy places the organism in Eukaryota, Metazoa, Chordata, Actinopteri, Beloniformes, Adrianichthyidae. The record is from RefSeq and is a predicted model, not a curated record.